RNAcentral lists this transfer RNA (75 nucleotides) under Kosakonia phage Kc304. RNAcentral's name for it is "tRNA-Thr". It matches the Rfam family "tRNA". From Rfam's summary of the family: Transfer RNA (tRNA) molecules are approximately 80 nucleotides in length. Their secondary structure includes four short double-helical elements and three loops (D, anti-codon, and T loops). Further hydrogen bonds mediate the characteristic L-shaped molecular structure. tRNAs have two regions of fundamental functional importance: the anti-codon, which is responsible for specific mRNA codon recognition, and the 3' end, to which the tRNAs corresponding amino acid is attached (by aminoacyl-tRNA synthetases). tRNAs cope with the degeneracy of the genetic code in two manners: having more than one tRNA (with a specific anti-codon) for a particular amino acid; and 'wobble' base-pairing, i.e. permitting non-standard base-pairing at the 3rd anti-codon position. The record is from RNAcentral. Lineage: Duplodnaviria; Heunggongvirae; Uroviricota; Caudoviricetes; Pantevenvirales; Straboviridae.
GCUGGUUUAGCUCAGAGAUGGCGGAGCAACCCACUUGUAAUGGGAAGGACGUAGGUUCGAGCCCUACAACCAGCA